GAUGAACGCUGGCGGCGUGCCUAAUACAUGCAGGUCGAGCGAACGGACGAGAAGCUUGCUUCUCUGAUGUUAGCGGCGGACGGGUGAGUAACACGUGGAUAACCUACCUAUAAGACUGGGAUAACUUCGGGAAACCGGAGCUAAUACCGGAUGAUAUUUUGAACCGCAUGGUUCAAAAGUGAAAGACGGUCUUGCUGUCACUUAUAGAUGGAUCCGCGCUGCAUUAGCUAGUUGGUAAGGUAACGGCUUACCAAGGCAACGAUGCAUAGCCGACCUGAGAGGGUGAUCGGCCACACUGGAACUGAGACACGGUCCAGACUCCUACGGGAGGCAGCAGUAGGGAAUCUUCCGCAAUGGGCGAAAGCCUGACGGAGCAACGCCGCGUGAGUGAUGAAGGUCUUCGGAUCGUAAAACUCUGUUAUUAGGGAAGAACAUAUGUGUAAGUAACUGUGCGCAUCUUGACGGUACCUAAUCAGAAAGCCACGGCUAACUACGUG
Molecule: ribosomal RNA, 497 nt
Filed under: uncultured bacterium
Lineage: Bacteria
Description: partial 16S ribosomal RNA
Rfam family: Bacterial small subunit ribosomal RNA
Source: RNAcentral